CCUACGGGAGGCAGCAGUGGGGAAUAUUGGGCAAUGGGCGAAAGCCUGACCCAGCAACGCCGCGUGAAGGAAGAAGGCGUUCGGGGUGGAAACUUCUUUUGACAGGGAAGAGCAGAAGACGGUAACUGUCGAAUAAGCCACGGCUAACUACGGGCCAGCAACCGCGGUGAUACGUAGGUGGCAAGCGUUGUCCGGAAUUACUGGGUGGAAAGGGCGUGUAGCCGGGCUGACAAGUCAGUGGUGAAAUCCGGGGGCUCAACCCCCGAACUGCAUUUGAAACUGGUGGUCUUGAGUAUAGGAGAGGCAGGCGGAAUUCCUGGUGUAGCGGUGAAAUGCGUAGAUAUCAGGAGGAACACCGGUGGCGAAGGCGGCCUGCUGGACUGCAACUGACGUUGAGGCCCGAAAGCGUGGGUAGCAAACAGGAUUAGAUACCCCUGUAGUC
RNAcentral lists this ribosomal RNA (442 nucleotides) under uncultured bacterium. RNAcentral describes it as "partial 16S ribosomal RNA". It matches the Rfam family "Bacterial small subunit ribosomal RNA", at positions 338 to 795 of the family's 1533-position model. The record is from RNAcentral.